RNAcentral lists this long non-coding RNA (1119 nucleotides) under Homo sapiens (human). Its description in RNAcentral is "HSALNT0273363". Lineage: Eukaryota; Metazoa; Chordata; Mammalia; Primates; Hominidae. The record is from RNAcentral.
CACCCCUCUCACUCCUUUGUCUUGUCUCUGGGAGACUUCCAACUGGGAAUCUCCCGCUGAGGCCACACCUCUAGAUUAGGUUAGUGGCCCCUGAUCCACGCCGCUCCAGCAUUCUGCCAUGAGAAACCUCACUCUGCUGCAGCUUUAUCUUCUAAAUGACGUGCUGAGAACACCCACGAAACUGCAAUACCGGCUAAUCAGCCCCAGCUUCUUCAGAAAGGCUUCUGCUUGUGACUCCAUGAUCUGUAGCUUAUACACUUCACUCUCCUUCCAGUUUUCAAGUACGGAUACCUGCCAGUAGAUCAGAAGACAUAUGAGUAUUUUACAAAUGACAGCCUGAAACUAUUUUAAAGGUUAAAACUUAAACAUUCAAACCACUUUCCCAUUUCUCCUUAAAUGAAGCAUGACAGAAUCAUCAGAACUUGAUUGUAUCAUAGGUGAACAUGAAUUAGACUUUGAGAUUUGAAAACAGAACAAAAUGACAUCACAAAUGCAUACCUUCCAUGAUCCUUUUUGCAGAUAUGAAUAACUGUACAUGGCUUUCUGCUUAAGCUAUAUAUAAGCACAGAGCCAGGUUAACUGCAUGUGUACACGAGUGUGCAUUACCUAUGGUCCUGCAGCAGAAUAACCCUUAAUAAAGGCUGCAUCCUCUGCAAGUUUAGAAAAGCCUCAGAGAAGCUGUUCUCGGCAAGGGCAUCAAAAGCUUCGGGGUAUGCUUUUAAGAUUUUAGACUCUCUGUGGCUUCCCCACAAACCAACUGGCCAUUUUUGUGAGAAUCACUGCAGGAAAUGUAAAAUGGCCUCAUGGUCCAAAUGAUCCAUUAAAUAGCCUUUUAAUCCAGGUGUCAGUAAACUUGACAGGGCCCACCAGGCAAACCUGCUUACCAAACGGUGGUGUGAAUUAAACAAGCUCAGGAAUACGGAUGCUGGUGUAGGACCCAAAAAGUAUUCAUACUUUGGCUCUUUUUCCUUUCCUGUCCUUAGAAGCAGGUGCAUAGUCAAUUCUUAAUUGAAAAGCCUAAUGUUUGCAGACUGUAUAAACUAAGUCUUUUCUUACUUUACCAGAAUAAUCACAGACACAUAUGCCAAUAAAUAUCAUUUGUUUCUCAGCUACAGAAAC